CCUACGGGAGGCAGCAGUGGGGAAUAUUGGACAAUGGGGGGAACCCUGAUCCAGCGACGCCGCGUGAGUGAAGAAGUAUUUCGGUAUGUAAAGCUCUAUCAUCAGGGACGAAAGAAAUGACGGUACCUCACUAAGAAGCCCCGGCUAACUACGUGCCAGCAGCCGCGGUAAUACGUAGGGGGCAAGCGUUAUCCGGAUUUAUUGGGUGUAAAGGGAGCGUAGACGGUUAAGCAAGUCUGGAGUGAAAGGCCAGGGCGCAACCCCCGGACUGCUUUGGAAACUGUAUAACUGGAGUGCAGGAGAGGUAAGUGGAAUUCCUAGUGUAGCGGUGAAAUGCGUAGAUAUUAGGAGGAACACCAGUGGCGAAGGCGGCUUACUGGACUGUAACUGACGUUGAGGCUCGAAAGCGUGGGGAGCAAACAGGAUUAGAUACCCUAGUAGUC
RNAcentral lists this ribosomal RNA (443 nucleotides) under uncultured bacterium. RNAcentral's name for it is "partial 16S ribosomal RNA". It matches the Rfam family "Bacterial small subunit ribosomal RNA", at positions 338 to 795 of the family's 1533-position model. The record is from RNAcentral.